This 460-nucleotide ribosomal RNA is filed under the name uncultured bacterium. Its description in RNAcentral is "partial 16S ribosomal RNA". It matches the Rfam family "Bacterial small subunit ribosomal RNA", at positions 338 to 795 of the family's 1533-position model. The record is from RNAcentral.
CCUACGGGUGGCAGCAGUGAGGAAUAUUGGUCAAUGGGCGCGAGCCUGAACCAGCCAAGUAGCGUGAAGGAUGACUGCCCUACGGUUUGUAAACUUCUUUUAUAAAGGAAUAAAGUGAGGCACGCGUGCCGUUUUGUAUGUACCUUAUGAAUAAGGAUCGGCUAACUCCGUGCCAGCAGCCGCGGUAAUACGGAGGAUCCGAGCGUUAUCCGGAUUUAUUGGGUUUAAAGGGAGCGUAGAUGGGUUGUUAAGUCAGUUGUGAAAGUUUGCGGCUCAACCGUAGAAUUGCAGUUGAUACUGGGAGUCUUGAGUACAGUUGAGGUAGGCGGAAUUCGUGGUGUAGCGGUGAAAUGCUUAGAUAUCACGAAGAACCCCGAUUGCGAAGGCAGCUUACCAAACUGUCACUGACAUUGAUGCUCGAAAGUGUGGGGAUCAAACAGGAUUAGAUACCCUUGUAGUC